UAGGGAAUUUUCCACAAUGGACGAAAGCCUGACCCAGCAACGCCGCGUGAAGGAUGAAGUAUUUCGGUAUGUAAACUUCGAAAGAAUAGGAAGAAUAAAUGACGGUACUAUUUAUAAGGUCCGGCUAACUACGUGCCAGCAGCCGCGGUAAUACGUAGGGACCAAGCGUUGUUCGGAUUUACUGGGCGUAAAGGGCGCGUAGGCGGCAAUUCAAGUCAUCUGUGAAAUCUCCGGGCUUAACUCGGAACGGUCAGAUGAUACUGCUUUGCUAGAGUGCAGAAGGGGCAAUCGGAAUUCUUGGUGUAGCGGUGAAAUGCGUAGAUAUCGGGAGGAACACCUGUGGCGAAGGCGGCCACCUGGUUGGAUACUGACGCUGAGACGCGAAAGCGUGGGGAGCAAACAGGAUUAGAUACCCGGGUAGUCCCUGAGCGGGCUGGCAAGGCGCAU
This 447-nucleotide ribosomal RNA is filed under the name uncultured bacterium. RNAcentral's name for it is "bacterial SSU rRNA". It matches the Rfam family "Bacterial small subunit ribosomal RNA", at positions 355 to 825 of the family's 1533-position model. The record is from RNAcentral.